Non-coding RNA from Haemophilus sputorum HK 2154, 1018 nucleotides. NCBI's taxonomy places the organism in Bacteria, Pseudomonadati, Pseudomonadota, Gammaproteobacteria, Pasteurellales, Pasteurellaceae. The record is from Rfam.
GAAUUGAAGAGUUUGAUCAUGGCUCAGAUUGAACGCUGGCGGCAGGCUUAACACAUGCAAGUCGAACGGUAACAGGAAGAAAGCUUGCUUUCUUUGCUGACGAGUGGCGGACGGGUGAGUAAUGCUUGGGAAUCUGGCUUAUGGAGGGGGAUAACUACGGGAAACUGUAGCUAAUACCGCGUAAUAUCGAGAGAUUAAAGGGUGGGACCGCAAGGCCACCUGCCAUGAGAUGAGCCCAAGUGGGAUUAGGUAGUUGGUGAGGUAAAGGCUCACCAAGCCGACGAUCUCUAGCUGGUCUGAGAGGAUGACCAGCCACACUGGAACUGAGACACGGUCCAGACUCCUACGGGAGGCAGCAGUGGGGAAUAUUGCACAAUGGGGGGAACCCUGAUGCAGCCAUGCCGCGUGAAUGAAGAAGGCCUUCGGGUUGUAAAGUUCUUUCGGUAGCGAGGAAGGCAUUUAGUUUAAUAGACUAGAUGAUUGACGUUAACUACAGAAGAAGCACCGGCUAACUCCGUGCCAGCAGCCGCGGUAAUACGGGGGGUGCGAGCGUUAAUCGGAAUAACUGGGCGUAAAGGGCACGCAGGCGGUGACUUAAGUGAGAUGUGAAAGCCCCGGGCUUAACCUGGGAAUUGCAUUUCAUACUGGGUCGCUAGAGUACUUUAGGGAGGGGUAGAAUUCCACGUGUAGCGGUGAAAUGCGUAGAGAUGUGGAGGAAUACCGAAGGCGAAGGCAGCCCCUUGGGAAUGUACUGACGCUCAUGUGCGAAAGCGUGGGGAGCAAACAGGAUUAGAUACCCUGGUAGUCCACGCUGUAAACGAUGUCGAUUUGGGGGUUGGGCUUUAAGCUUGGCGCCCGUAGCUAACGUGAUAAAUCGACCGCCUGGGGAGUACGGCCGCAAGGUUAAAACUCAAAUGAAUUGACGGGGGCCCGCACAAGCGGUGGAGCAUGUGGUUUAAUUCGAUGCAACGCGAAGAACCUUACCUACUCUUGACAUCCAGAGAACUUUCCAGAGAUG